RNAcentral lists this ribosomal RNA (500 nucleotides) under uncultured bacterium. RNAcentral describes it as "bacterial SSU rRNA". It matches the Rfam family "Bacterial small subunit ribosomal RNA", at positions 28 to 489 of the family's 1533-position model. The record is from RNAcentral.
GACGAACGCUGGCGGCGUGCCUAAUACAUGCAAGUCGAACGCACUCUCGUUUAGAUUGAAGGAGCUUGCUCCUGAUUGAUAAACAUUUGAGUGAGUGGCGGACGGGUGAGUAACACGUGGGUAACCUGCCCUAAAGUGGGGGAUAACAUUUGGAAACAGGUGCUAAUACCGCAUAAAACCUAACACCGCAUGGUGUAGGGUUGAAAGAUGGUUUCGGCUAUCACUUUAGGAUGGACCCGCGGUGCAUUUGUUAGUUGGUGAGGUAAAGGCUCACCAAGACCGUGAUGCAUAGCCGACCUGAGAGGGUAAUCGGCCACACUGGGACUGAGACACGGCCCAGACUCCUACGGGAGGCAGCAGUAGGGAAUCUUCCACAAUGGACGAAAGUCUGAUGGAGCAACGCCGCGUGAGUGAAGAAGGUUUCGGAUCGUAAACUCUGUUGUUGGAGAAGAAUGUAUCUGAUAGUAACUGAUCAGGUAGUGACGGUAUCCAACCAGAAA